Myotis lucifugus (little brown bat) is the source of this 63-nucleotide non-coding RNA. The record is from Rfam. NCBI's taxonomy places the organism in Eukaryota, Metazoa, Chordata, Mammalia, Chiroptera, Vespertilionidae.
GGCCUCCCUCUGCGGGGCGAUUGACCUGGGGGCCCCGGAUCAAUUGCCUCACAGAGGGAGGCC